GGAUCAAGGAAUCGGUCAUGCCUUGGUAUGUACUGGUUUUAUUGGUUCUCACCUUCUAAAGAACCAUAAUGUCAUUUACUUGAUGAUAUGGGGAAUUUGGACUGUUACUUUGAAAAAAUUAGAGUGUUUAAAGCAAGCUAACGCUUGAAUACAUUAGCAUGGAAUAAUGAAAUAGGACGUUCGAUCCUAUUUUGUUGGUUUCUAGGAUUGACGUA
Molecule: ribosomal RNA, 215 nt
Filed under: Campeiostachys nutans
Lineage: Eukaryota; Viridiplantae; Streptophyta; Magnoliopsida; Poales; Poaceae
Description: Elymus nutans partial small subunit ribosomal RNA
Rfam family: Eukaryotic small subunit ribosomal RNA (bases 46-215)
Source: RNAcentral